GAGAGGAGGAGAGGAGAGGAGAGGAGAGGAGAGUGUUUUUAUACUUUCAAAGAUUUCUGUUUCCUUCCUUCCUUCCUUCCUUCCUUCCUUCCUUCCUUCCUUCCUCUUCCUUCCUUCCUUCCUUCCUUCCUUCCUUUCUUCCUUUCUUCCUUUCUUCCUUUCUUCCUUCCUUCCUUCCUUCCUUCCUGACUCUAAGGCCAUUUCUGGUUUGGGGAAAAAAUCCUUCCUCUCUUAGUAGGCAAACGGAAGACGGUCCUCCCCUCCUCGAUAGCCUCCUUUAAGGCGAGGAAUCACACGUGUAUCCUACCACAGAAGACAGUCCUCCAUAGCCUCACACGUCUCUAUUGUCUCAAGGCUUAAAAAUCAUUCUUUAACCCGUCUCCUCCCCUUUCAUCUACACUGAUUAAAGUGGAUUAAACAAGUGACAUCAAUAAGGGAUCAUAUCUUUCACCUGGUCAGUCUACAUCAUGGAAAGAGCAGGUGUUCCUAAUAUUUUGUCCAUUCAUCGUAUAUCUAUAUGUAACAUUUGACAUGUAUUUAUCAGCGAUCUGUUCGUUUUAUAAUGUCUAUUGUUGUUGUUGUUGUUGUUGUUUAUUUGUUUGUGUCCCAAAUGGCACCUUAUUUCCCAUAGGGCUCUAAAGUAGUGCACUAGAUAGGGAAUAGGGCUGUGGUCUAAAGUAGUGCACUAUAUAGGGAAUAGGGCUCUGGUCUAUAGUAGUGCACUAGAUAGGGAAUAGGGCUCUGGUCUAAAGUAGUGCACUAUAUAGGGAAUAGGGCUCUGGUCUAAAGUAGUGCACUAGAUAGGGAAUAGGGCUCUAAAGUAGUGCACUAGAUAGGGAAUAGGGCUCUAAAGUAGUGCACUAGAUAGGGAAUAGGGCUCUGGUCUAAAGUAGUGCACUAUAUAGGGAAUAGGGCCCUGGUCUAAAGUAGUGCACUAUAUAGGGAAUAGGGCUCUGGUCUAAAGUAGUGCACUAGAUAGGGAAUAGGGCUCUGGUCUAUAGUAGUGCACUAUAUAGGGAAUAGGGCUCUGGUCUAUAGUAGUGCACUAUAUAGGGAAUAGGGCUCCAAAGUAGUGCACUAGAUAGGGAAUAGGGCUCUAAAGUAGUGCACUAGAUAGGGAAUAGGGCUCUAAAGUAGUGCACUAGAUAGGGAAUAGGGCUCUGGUCUAAAGUAGUGCACUAUAUAGGGAAUAGGGCUCUGGUCUAUAGUAGUGCACUAGAUAGGGAAUAGGGCUCUGGUCUAAAGUAGUGCACUAUAUAGGGAAUAGGGCUCUGGUCUAAAGUAGUGCACUAGAUAGGGAAUAGGGCUCUAAAGUAGUGCACUAGAUAGGGAAUAGGGCUCUAAAGUAGUGCACUAGAUAGGGAAUAGGGCUCUGGUCUAAAGUAGUGCACUAUAUAGGGAAUAGGGCCCUGGUCUAAAGUAGUGCACUAUAUAGGGAAUAGGGCUCUGGUCUAAAGUAGUGCACUAGAUAGGGAAUAGGGCUCUGGUCUAUAGUAGUGCACUAUAUAGGGAAUAGGGCUCUGGUCUAUAGUAGUGCACUAUAUAGGGAAUAGGGCUCCAAAGUAGUGCACUAGAUAGGGAAUAGGGCUCUAAAGUAGUGCACUAUAUAGGGAAUAGGGCUCUGGUCUAUAGUAGUGCACUAUAUAGGGAAUAGGGCUCUAAAGUAGUGCACUAUAUAGGGAAUAGGGCUCUGAUCUAAAGUAGUGUACUAUAUAGGGAAUAGGGCUCUAAAGUAGUGCACUAGAUAGGGAAUAGGGCUCUAAAGUAGUGCACUAGAUAGGGAAUAGGGCUCUAAAGUAGUGCACUAGAUAGGGAAUAGGGCUCUAAAGUAGUGCACUAGAUAGGGAAUAGGGCUCUAAAGUAGUGCACUAGAUAGGGAAUAGGGCUCUAAAGUAGUGCACUAUAUAGGGAAUAGGGCUCUGGUCUAAAGUAGUGCACUAGAUAGGGAAUAGGGCUCUAAAGUAGUGCAAUAGAUAGGGAAUAGGGCUCUAAAGUAGUGCACUAGAUAGGGAAUAGGGCUCUGGUCUAUAGUAGUGUUCUAUAUAGGGAAUAGGGCUCUGGUCUAAAGUAGUGCACUAGAUAGGGAAUAGAGCUCUGAUCUAAAGUAGUGCACUAGAUAGGGAAUAGGGCUCUAAAGUAGUGCACUAGAUAGGGAAUAGGGCUCUAAAGUAAUGCACUAUAUAGGGAAUAGGGCUCUAAAGUAGUGCACUAUAUAGGGAAUAGGGCUCUAAAGUAGUGUACUAUAUAGGGAAUAGGGCUCUAAAGUAGUGUACUAUAUAGGGAAUAGGGCUCUAAAGUAGUGUACUAUAUAGGGAAUAGGGCUCUAAAGUAGUGCACUAGAUAGGGAAUAGGGCUCUAAAGUAGUGUACUAUAUAGGGAAUAGGGCUCUAAAGUAGUGCACUAGAUAGGGAAUAGGGCUCUGGUCUAAAGUAGUGCACUAGAUAGGGAAUAGGGCUCUAAAGUAGUGCACUAGAUAGGGAAUAGGGCUCUAAAGUAGUGCACUAUAUAGGGAAUAGGGCUCUAAAGUAAUGCACUAUAUAGGGAAUAGGGCUCUAAAGUAGUGCACUAUAUAGGGAAUAGGGCUCUAAAGUAGUGUACUAUAUAGGGAAUAGGGCUCUAAAGUAGUGUACUAUAUAGGGAAUAGGGCUCUAAAGUAGUGUACUAUAUAGGGAAUAGGGCUCUAAAGUAGUGCACUAGAUAGGGAAUAGGGCUCUAAAGUAGUGCACUAGAUAGGGAAUAGGGCUCUGGUCUAAAGUAGUGCACUAGAUAGGGAAUAGGGCUCUAAAGUAGUGCACUAGAUAGGGAAUAGGGCUCUGGUCUAAAGUAGUGCACUAGAUAGGGAAUAGGGCUCUGGUCUAUAGUAGUGCACUAUAUAGGGAAUAGGGCUCUGGUCUAUAGUAGUGCACUAUGUAGGGAAUAGGGCUCUGGUUUAUAGUAGUGCACUAUAUAGGGAAUAGGGCUCCAAAGUAGUGCACUAUAUAGGGAAUAUGGCUCUUGUUCAAAGUAGUGCACUAGAUAGGGAAUAGGGCUCUUGUUCAAAGUAGUGCAUUAUAUAGGGAAUAGGGCUCUUGUUCAAAGUAGUGCACUAGAUAGGGAAUGGGGCUCUUGUUCAAAGUAGUGCACUAGAUAGGGAAUAGGGCUCUUGUUCAAAGUAGUGCACUAUAUAGGGAAUAUGGCUCUUGUUCAAAGUAGUGCACUAUAUAGGGAAUAGGGCUCCAAAGUAGUGCACUAUAUAGGGAAUAGGACUCUUGUUCAAAGUAGUGCACUAUAUAGGGAAUAGGGCUCUUGUUCAAAGUAGUGCACUAUAUAGGGAAUGGGGCUCUUGUUCAAAGUAGUGCACUAGAUAGGGAAUAGGGCUCUUGUUCAAAGUAGUGCACUAUAUAGGGAAUAUGGCUCUUGUUCAAAGUAGUGCACUAUAUAGGGAAUAGGGCUCCAAAGUAGUGCACUAUAUAGGGAAUAGGACUCUUGUUCAAAGUAGUGCACUAUAUAGGGAAUAGGGCUCCAAAGUAGUGGACUAUAUAGGGAAUAGUGUGUCAUUUGGGACUCAUUUAAUGUAUUUCUUGAUGAAAGGCCUUGAGAACAGUCUCUCUUGAAUAUUUCACAAUUAAUAUUAACAGGCAAGUAUGGAGGGAAGGUAGACCAAUCAAUAAACAGCGACAUCACGCAGCCUUACACGCCCGUGGACAGGAAGGUAGACCAAUCAAUAAACCGCGUCAUCACGCAGCCUUACACGCCCGUGGACAGGAAGGUAGACCAAUCAAUAAACCGCGUCAUCACGCAGCCUUGCACGCCCAGUGGACAGGAAGGUAGACCAAUCAAUAAACGGUGACAUCACUCAGCCUUGCACGCCCGUGGACAGGAAGGUAGACCAAUCAAUAAACGGUGACAUCACUCAGCCUUGCACGCCCGUGGACAGGAAGGUAGACCAAUCAAUAAACCGCGUCAUCACGCAGCCUUGCACGUCUAUGGACAGAAAGGUUUUAAACGGACGGUGACAUCACUCAGCCUUGCACGUCUAUGGACAGAAAGUUUUAAACGGACGGUGACAUCACUCAGCCUUGCACGUCUAUGGACAGAAAGAUUUUAUUUUAUUUAUUAUAUUUUAUAACAGUAUAUUAUAUUCACGUUUUAUAUUGUCACACAGUCACUCCUCACUCACAGUUAUAGCACCAUGACUGCUUCCAAACUGCACCCUAUACCCUAUGUAGUACAGUCCUUUGAGUACGCCCCCUAUGGACCCUGUUCAAACUGCACCCUAUACCCUAUGUAGUACAGUACUUUGAGUACGCCCCCUAUGGACCCUGUUCAAACUGCACCCUAUUCCCUACGUAGUACAGUCCUUUGAGUACGCCCCCUAUGGACCCUGGUCAAACUGCACCCUAUUCCCUACGUAGUACAGUACUUUGAGUACGCCCCCUAUAGACCCUGGUCAAACUGCACCCUAUUCCCUACGUAGUACAGUACUUUGAGUACGCCCCCUAUAGACCCUGGUCAAACUGCACCCUAUUCCCUACGUAGUACAGUCCUUUGAGUACGCCCCCUAUGGACCCUGGUCAAACUGCACCCUAUUCCCUACGUAGUACAGUACUUUGAGUACGCCCCCUAUAGACCCUGGUCAAACUGCACCCUAUUCCCUAUGUAGUACAGUACUUUGAGUACGCCCCCUAUAGACCCUGGUCAAACUGCACCCUAUACCCUACGUAGUACAGUACUUUGAGUACGCCCCCUAUAGACCCUGGUAGUGCAUCAUAUAGGGAAUAGGGUUCCGUUUAGAACACAGCAUAGGGUUCCAUUUAGAACACAGCAUAGGGUUCCAUUUAGAACACAGCAUAGGGUUCCAUUUAGAACACAGCAUAGGGUUCCAUUUAGAACACGGCAUAGGGUUCCAUUUAGAACACGGCAUAGGGUUCCAUUUAGAACACGGCAUAGGGUUCCAUUUAGAACACAGCAUAGGGUUCCAUUUAGAACACGGAAUAGGGUUCCAUUUAGAACACGGCAUAGGGUUCCAUUUAGAACACAGCAUAGGGUUCCAUUUAGAACACAGCAUAGGGUUCCAUUUAGAACACAGCAUAGGGUUCCAUUUAGAACACAGCAUAGGGUUCCAUUUAGAACACAGCAUAGGGUUCCAUUUAGAACACAGCAUAGGGUUCCAUUUAGAACACAGCAUAGGGUUCCAUUUAGAACACGGCAUAGGGUUCCAUUUAGAACACAGCAUAGGGUUCCAUUUAGAACACAGCCCAUGUCUGAGAGACAUAGAACAGUAAUAACAUGUUAUAAAACAAGACACAGGCUUGAGAACAGUUAUAACAUGUUAAAUGUUUUAUAACAAGACAAUGGCUUGAGAACAGUUAUAACAUGGUAUAUGGUUUAUAAUAAGACAAAGGCUUGAGAACAGUUAUAACAUGUUAUAUGGUUUAUAACAAGACAAUGGCUUGAGAACAGUUAUAACAUGGUAUAUGUUUUAUAAUAAGACAAAGGCUUGAGAACAGUUAUAACAUGUUAUAUGGUUUAUAACAAGACACAGGCUUGAGAACAGUUAUAACAUGUCAUAUGUUAUAGAACAAGACACAGGCUUGAGAACAGUUAUAACAUGUUAUAUGGUUUAUAACAAGACAAUGGCUUGAGAACAGUUAUAACAUGGUUUAUAACAAGACACAGGCUUGAGAACAGUUAUAACAUGUUACAUGGUUUAUAACAAGACACAGGCUUGAGAACAGUUAUAACAUGUUACAUGGUUUAUAACAAGACACAGGCUUGAGAACAGUUAUAACAUGUUACAUGGUUUAUAACAAGACACAGGCUUGAGAACAGUUAUAACAUGUUACAUGGUUUAUAACAAGACACAGGCUUGAGAACAGUUAUAACAUGUUACAUGGUUUAUAACAAGACACAGGCUUGAGAACAGUUAUAACAUGUUACAUGGUUUAUAACAAGACACAGGCUUGAGAACAGUUAUAACAUGUUACAUGGUUUAUAACAAGACACAGGCUUGAAUACAGUUGUAACAUGUUAUGUUAUGUUAUAGAACAAGACACAGGCUUGAGAACAGUUAUAACAUGUUACAUGGUUUAUAACAAGACACAGGCUUGAGAACAGUUAUAACAUGUUACAUGGUUUAUAACAAGACACAGGCUUGAGAACAGUUAUAACAUGUUACAUGGUUUAUAACAAGACACAGGCUUGAGAACAGUUAUAACAUGUUACAUGGUUUAUAACAAGACACAGGCUUGAAUACAGUUGUAACAUGUUAUGUUAUGUUAUAGAACAAGACACAGGCUUGAGAACAGUUAUAACAUGUUAUAUGGUUUAUAACAAGACAAUGGCUUGAGAACAGUUAUAACAUGGUUUAUAACAAGACACAGGCUUGAGAACAGUUAUAACAUGUUACAUGGUUUAUAACAAGACACAGGCUUGAGAACAGUUAUAACAUGUUAUAUGGUUUAUAACAAGACACAGGCUUUAGCCUCCACGUGUUGCCUUCCCUUUGCUCCUCAUUGGUUUAUCACUAUAUCAAUUUAACCUGUAUGAAUAAACUACUUAUUAAAACAGG
Long non-coding RNA from Salvelinus fontinalis (brook trout), 6550 nucleotides. RefSeq lists it as uncharacterized. Lineage: Eukaryota; Metazoa; Chordata; Actinopteri; Salmoniformes; Salmonidae. The record is from RefSeq and is a predicted model, not a curated record. The transcript is spliced from 2 exons.